UUGUUAAUCGUUGCUGAAAGAAACAGCUGGGAAGGAUGUAAUAGCUGCCGAGUAUCUUAAAAAAGGACUACAAUUAAUAUAUCGGCUACAUAUUGUGAUUAAUAAAAUAUAGAAAAGUGAAGAAAUACGAAAUUCGUUACGUAAUUCUGUUCUAUGUACUGUCUUCAAAAGGGAGAUAUAGUAUUGUAAAAAUUACAGAGAAAUCUCACUAUUAAAUAUUGUCUAAUAUUCUACUUAAUAGAAUAAAAUGUUAUAUAUUCGAGAUAAUUGGAGAUUAUCAUGUAGGGUUUAUGGCA
Molecule: non-coding RNA, 296 nt
Organism: Cinara cedri
Lineage: Eukaryota; Metazoa; Arthropoda; Insecta; Hemiptera; Aphididae
Source: the annotation of a GenBank genome assembly